AACGAACGCUGGCGGCAUGCCUAACACAUGCAAGUCGAACGAAGUCUUCGGACUUAGUGGCGCACGGGUGCGUAACGCGUGGGAAUCUACCCUUAGGUUCGGAAUAACUCACCGAAAGGUGUGCUAAUACCGGAUAAUGUCUUCGGACCAAAGAUUUAUUGCCUUUGGAUGAGCCCGCGUAAGAUUAGCUUGUUGGUGAGGUAAAAGCUCACCAAGGCGACGAUCUUUAGCUGGUCUGAGAGGAUGAUCAGCCACACUGGGACUGAGACACGGCCCAGACUCCUACGGGAGGCAGCAGUGGGGAAUAUUGGACAAUGGGCGCAAGCCUGAUGCAGCGACGCCGCGUGAGGGAUGACGGCCUUCGGGUUGUAAACCUCUUUCACCAGGGACGAAGCGUGAGUGACGGUACCUGGAGAAGAAGCACCGGCCAACUACGUG
RNAcentral lists this ribosomal RNA (438 nucleotides) under uncultured bacterium. Its description in RNAcentral is "bacterial SSU rRNA". It matches the Rfam family "Bacterial small subunit ribosomal RNA", at positions 29 to 507 of the family's 1533-position model. The record is from RNAcentral.